This 253-nucleotide ribosomal RNA is filed under the name uncultured bacterium. RNAcentral's name for it is "partial 16S ribosomal RNA". It matches the Rfam family "Bacterial small subunit ribosomal RNA", at positions 524 to 776 of the family's 1533-position model. The record is from RNAcentral.
UACAUGGGGUGCAAACGUUGCUCGGAAUCAUUGGGCGUAAAGCGCGCGUAGGCGGUUACUUAAGUCGAAUGUGAAAGCCCUCGGCUUAACCGAGGAAGUGCAUCCGAAACUGAGUAGCUAGAGUACGAAAGAGGGUCGCGGAAUUCCCGGUGUAGAGGUGAAAUUCGUAGAUAUCGGGAGGAACACCUGCGGCGAAGGCGGGUUGCUGGGCUGAUACUGACGCUGAGGCGCGAAAGCCAGGGGAGCGAACGGG